This 377-nucleotide ribosomal RNA is filed under the name uncultured bacterium. RNAcentral describes it as "bacterial SSU rRNA". It matches the Rfam family "Bacterial small subunit ribosomal RNA", at positions 521 to 896 of the family's 1533-position model. The record is from RNAcentral.
UAAGACAGAGGUGCCGAGCGUUAGGCGGAAUCACUGGGCUUAAAGCGUGUGUAGGCGGACCGUUAAGUACCUUGUGAAAUCCCACGGCUCACCCGUGGAACGGCUGGGUAUACUGGCGGUCUUGGGCCACCUAGGGGCAGAUGGAACAGACGGUGGAGCGGUGAAAUGCGUAGAUAUCGUCUGGAACGCCGACGGUGAAAACAGUCUGCUGGGGGUGUGCCGACGCUGAGACACGAAAGCCAGGGGAGCGAACGGGAUUAGAUACCCCGGUAGUCCUGGCCCUAAACGAUGUCGACUGGAUCGUAGUGCCUCUGACGGUAUUACGGUCGUAGCAAAAGUGCUAAGUCGACCGCCUGGGAAGUACGGUCGCAAGGCUA